RNAcentral lists this ribosomal RNA (2432 nucleotides) under Faecalibacterium sp. AM43-5AT. RNAcentral's name for it is "bacterial LSU rRNA". It matches the Rfam family "Bacterial large subunit ribosomal RNA", at positions 406 to 2925 of the family's 2925-position model. The record is from RNAcentral. Lineage: Bacteria; Bacillati; Bacillota; Clostridia; Eubacteriales; Oscillospiraceae.
UCCAGAGUACGGCCAGACACGUGAAACCUGGUCGGAAUACGGGGGGACCACCCUCCAACCCUAAAUACUACCCAGUGACCGAUAGCGUAUAGUACUGUGAAGGAAAGGUGAAAAGCACCCCGGGAGGGGAGUGAAAAAGAACCUGAAACCCUGUGCCUACAAGCACCUAGAGCACGUCAAUGUGUGAUAGGGUACUUUUUGUAGAACGGUCCGGCGAGCGAUUGUAUGCAGCAAGGUUAAGGACUUAAGGUCUGGAGCCGAAGCGAAAGCGAGUUUGAAAAGGGCGUUAAGUUGCAUAUAAUGGGCCCGAAACCGGGUGACCUACCCAUGGUCAGGUUGAAGUGGAAGUAAAAUUCCAUGGAGGACCGAACCGACCUCCGUUGAAAAGGCGGCGGAUGAACUGUGGGUAGCGGAGAAAUUCCAAUCGAACCCGGAGAUAGCUGGUUCUCCCCGAAAUAGUUUUAGGACUAGCCUCAAGUUAGAUACCUGGAGGUAAAGCACUGAAUAGCCUAGCGGCCGAGAGGUUAGCGAAGCUUAUCAAACUCAGAAUGCCAGAGUAUUGAUGCUUGGGAGUCAGACAGUGUCAGAUAAAUGUCAUUGUCAAAAGGGAAACAGCCCAGAUCUACAGCUAAGGUCCCAAAGUCAGGUUAAGUGGAAAACGAUGUGAAGAUACGCAGACAACCAGGAUGUUGGCUCAGAAGCAGCCACUCAUUCAAAGAGUGCGUAAUAGCUCACUGGUCGAGCGUCUUUGCGCGGAGAAUUUAACGGGGCUAAACCUGACACCGAAGCUUAGGCAAUACAGCAAUGUAUUGGGUAGGGGAGCGUUGUAUACGCGGUGAAACAGUAGCGCAAGCGGCUGUGGAGUGUAUAGAAGUGAGAAUGCCGGAAUGAGUAGCGCGAAUGCAGUGAGAAUCUGCAUGGCCGAAAGCCUCAGGUUUCUGGAGGAAGGUUCGUCCGCUCCAGGUCAGUCGGGAGCUAAGGUGAGGCCUAACGGCGUAGCCGAUGCACAGACGGUAGAGAUUCCGUCACCACCAAAAGAGUUAAACACAGGGACACAUAUGAAGUCUCGGAGCCGGGUGUUGGUUCCGGUAGCGAUCGAGGGAAGUUAGUACCGAAGUCCGGGAUGGAAGAUGGCGAGAAAAGCUGUGUGUAUUUCUGCGGUGCCCGUACCGCAAACCGACACAGGUAGGUAGGAAGAAGAUUCUAAGGCCAACGGGAGAAGGGUUGUUAAGGAACUCGGCAAAUUGACCCCGUAACUUCGGGAGAAGGGGUGCUGCAGCAAUGCAGCCGCAGAGAAUCGGCCCAAGCAACUGUUUACCAAAAACACAGGUUUGUGCUAAAUCGAAAGAUGACGUAUACGAGCUGACGCCUGCCCGGUGCUGGAAGGUUAAGAGGAGAUGUGCAAGCAUUGAAUCGAAGCCCCAGUGAACGGCGGCCGUAACUAUAACGGUCCUAAGGUAGCGAAAUUCCUUGUCAGGUAAGUUCUGACCCGCAUGAAAGGCGUAAUGAUUUGGGCACUGUCUCAACAGCCCGCCCGGCGAAAUUGUAGUACCGGUGAAGAUGCCGGUUACCCGCGACAAGACGGAAAGACCCCAUGGAGCUUUACUGUAGCCUAAUAUUGGGUUUCGAUGUUGCAUGCACAGGAUAGAUGGGACACUGGGAAGCAGGUGCUUUGGCGCUUGUGGAGUGGCCGUUGGGAUACCAUCCUUGCGAUAUUGGAAUUCUAACCUGCGCCUUUGAAUCAAGGCGGGGGACAUUGUUAGGUGGGCAGUUUGACUGGGGCGGUCGCCUCCUAAAGAGUAACGGAGGCGUUCAAAGGUUCGCUCAGCUUGAACGGAAAUCAAGCAAAAGAGUGCAAACGCAGAAGCGAGCCUAACUGCGAGACUGACGGGUCGAGCAGUAACGAAAGUUGGAGUUAGUGAUCCGGUGGUAUGUGAGUGGAAAUGCCAUCGCUCAACGGAUAAAAGUUACCCUGGGGAUAACAGGCUGAUCUCCCCCAAGAGUCCACAUCGACGGGGAGGUUUGGCACCUCGAUGUCGGCUCAUCGCAUCCUGGGGCUGUAUUCGGUCCCAAGGGUUUGGCUGUUCGCCAAUUAAAGCGGUACGCGAGCUGGGUUCAGAACGUCGUGAGACAGUUCGGUCCCUAUCUGUCGUGGGCGCAGGAUAUUUGAUGGGAGCUGUUCCUAGUACGAGAGGACCGGAGCGGACGUACCUCUGGCGCACCAGUUGUUCUGCCAAGAGCAUAGCUGGGCAACUAUGUACGGAUCGGAUAAACGCUGAAAGCAUCUAAGCGUGAAGCCGACCCAAAGAUAAGAUAUCCCAUUGUUUCAAACAAGUAAGACCCCUUGAAGACUACAAGGUUGAUAGGCACGAUGUGUAAGUGGAGCGAUCCAUUCAGCAAGCGUGUACUAAUAGGUCGAGGGCUUGACCACA